GUAAGGAAUAUUGGUCAAUGGAGGCAACUCUGAACCAGCCAUGCCGCGUGCAGGAAGACGGCCCUCUGGGUUGUAAACUGCUUUUAUCUGGGAAUAAACCUGCUUACGUGUAAGUAGCUGAAUGUACCAGAAGAAUAAGGAUCGGCUAACUCCGUGCCAGCAGCCGCGGUAAUACGGAGGAUCCAAGCGUUAUCCGGAUUUAUUGGGUUUAAAGGGUGCGUAGGCGGCCUGUUAAGUCAGGGGUGAAAGACGGUGGCUCAACCAUCGCAGUGCCCUUGAUGCUGAUGGGCUUGAAUGGACUAGAGGUAGGCGGAAUGAGACAAGUAGCGGUGAAAUGCAUAGAUAUGUCUCAGAACACCGAUUGCGAAGGCAGCUUACUAUGGUCUUAUUGACGCUGAGGCACGAAAGCGUGGGGAUCGAACAGGAUUAGAAACCCCUGUAGUCC
This 445-nucleotide ribosomal RNA is filed under the name uncultured bacterium. RNAcentral describes it as "partial 16S ribosomal RNA". It matches the Rfam family "Bacterial small subunit ribosomal RNA", at positions 354 to 796 of the family's 1533-position model. The record is from RNAcentral.